Molecule: unclassified non-coding RNA, 207 nt
Filed under: Hevea brasiliensis (rubber tree)
Lineage: Eukaryota; Viridiplantae; Streptophyta; Magnoliopsida; Malpighiales; Euphorbiaceae
Source: RNAcentral
UUUUUUUUUUUUUUUUUAAAAAUUUUUUUGAAUGUCUCUUCCAUUCCAUAAAAAAAAUCAUCAGAAGCUCUGCUGAUGCAAAAGUUAUGUUCUGACUAGUAAAUUAUAGAUCUCUCCUAAAAAUGAUGUGGACCAUUUUCUUUCUCAAUAUAGAUAUCAAGGCAAUAUUUCUAAUUCAUUAACCCAAAAAAAAAUAAAAUUAAAAUA